Molecule: ribosomal RNA, 458 nt
Filed under: uncultured Syntrophus sp.
Lineage: Bacteria; Pseudomonadati; Thermodesulfobacteriota; Syntrophia; Syntrophales; Syntrophaceae
Description: bacterial SSU rRNA
Rfam family: Bacterial small subunit ribosomal RNA
Source: RNAcentral
GCACAAGCGUGGAGCAUGUGGUUUAAUUCGAUGCAACGCGAAGAACCUUACCUGGGCUUGACAUCCCGAGAAUCCCCUGGAAACAGGGGAGUGCCUUUCGGGGAACUCGGAGACAGGUGCUGCAUGGCUGUCGUCAGCUCGUGUCGUGAGAUGUUGGGUUAAGUCCCGCAACGAGCGCAACCCUUGUCUUUAAUUGCCAGCAUUCAGUUGGGCACUUUAAAGAGACUGCCGGUGUUAAGCCGGAGGAAGGUGGGAUGACGUCAAGUCCUCAUGGCCUUUAUGCCCAGGGCUACACACGUGCUACAAUGGGUGGUACAAAGAGAUGCCAACUCGCGAGAGCGCGCCAAUCUCAGAAAGCCAUCCUCAGUUCGGAUUGGAGUCUGCAACUCGACUCCAUGAAGUUGGAAUCGCUAGUAAUCGCGGAUCAGCACGCCGCGGUGAAUACGUUCCCGGGCCUU